RNA transcript from Drosophila eugracilis, 1266 nucleotides. It is a transcript of the gene named serine/threonine-protein phosphatase alpha-2 isoform, with no coding region annotated. The record is from RefSeq and is a predicted model, not a curated record. Lineage: Eukaryota; Metazoa; Arthropoda; Insecta; Diptera; Drosophilidae. The transcript is spliced from 2 exons.
GAAUGUUUAAAAUAUAUAGUAGACUUGUAAAACAAAAUUUCAAUCCGCUUCUAUAUAUUUGCUGAUAAGAUGUCACAGCAAAUGACAACCGUGGGUGACUUGAGUAAUAUUGACCAGCUCAUCCUGCGCAUUAUUGACACUCGUCGUUUGAAGCAGCUUAAUUUAACAGAAACUGAUAUACGGCUAAUAUGUAACAAAUCUCGAGAAGUUUUUAUGUCGCAACCCAUGCUGCUUGAACUUUCGGCUCCGGUAAAGAUCUGCGGUGACAUACACGGUCAGUUCUCGGACCUUUUGCGUCUGUUUGAUUAUGGUGGAUACCCACCAGCCUCCAAUUACCUCUUCCUUGGAGAUUAUGUGGAUCGGGGGAAGCAGUCAAUCGAAACCCUGUGCCUAUUGCUGGCUUAUAAAAUUAAAUAUCCAGAAAAUUUCUUUCUUCUUCGCGGAAACCAUGAGUCGGCUGGAAUCAACCGCAUAUAUGGAUUUUACGAUGAGUGCAAGCGGCGUUACACUAUUAAGCUAUGGCGUACAUUUGUUGAUUGUUAUAGUUGUAUGCCCGUAUCGGCCAUUGUCGACGAGAAAAUCUUUUGCUGCCAUGGCGGACUAAGCCCUGACUUGUUAAAUAUGAAUCAAAUUGGACAGUUGGCCCGACCUUGUGAUGUUCCUGACAAAGGAUUACUUUGCGAUCUCCUUUGGUCCGAUCCAGACCCUAAGAUAAUGGGAUGGAGCGAUAACGACCGCGGCGUCAGUGUCACCUUUGGUGCUGACAUAGUGGGCAAGUUCGUGCACCGACACAAAUUUGAUCUCAUCUGUCGUGCCCAUCAGGUCGUUGAGGAUGGUUACGAGUUCUUCGCUAAGCGUCAGCUAAUUACUAUAUUCUCAGCACCCAAUUACUGCGGAGAAUUUGACAAUGCAGGCGCUAUGAUGUCAGUAGAUGAAACAUUGAUGUGCUCGUUUUACGUUCUUAAGCCUUCGAAAAAACCAGGCUUGCGCAAAAUCCACUCGAAGAGUUGAAAUUAAAAUAAUGGGAUGAUGUUUUAAUAUUUGUAUCAGUACCUUGGUUUACAAACAAGCCGUGUGACAUAAAAAUUUUACGUUUUUAAUGCAAAUUUAAAUGUAUUGCACAUUCUGUGGUCAUGUGUUCCAGUCAGUUUUGGCUGGGAACUGUAAGAUAAGAAAUCACAAAUAUAGCAAAACGCAACUACGAUGAGCAAUCGUUUUUGAACGCGAUAUCAAAGAGCACACAAAACUAAGAGUCAUGUUGCUAAA